Long non-coding RNA from Hyaena hyaena (striped hyena), 2742 nucleotides. RefSeq lists it as uncharacterized. Lineage: Eukaryota; Metazoa; Chordata; Mammalia; Carnivora; Hyaenidae. The record is from RefSeq and is a predicted model, not a curated record. The transcript is spliced from 6 exons.
AGUGUUCUCACUGCAAUGAGACCAGGCAAAGCCAAGGUCCCCAGCACACCCUCCGCGCGGGGACUCUUCCCGUGCAAUUAGUUUAUCCUUCAGGCUGUGACCUUUCCCAGCGCCAGCUGAGGCACUCUCACUUGGGGCCCUGUCCAAUCUUUGAUCUCGGCGACACAGAACCAGCGAAACUGCCCAGGGUGCCCAACUGGCCUCUCACCCCCACGCCUGUGCCCCGGUGUCUUCUGCUUCCCUAGGACGGGGCCGGACUGCGGCUGUCCGCUCUUCCGCUCGAUGACACUAUGGGAUGGUUGAUAUCACUAUCUCCUCUUUACAGAAAUAAAUAAAACAUUAAAAAAAAAAAAAAAGAAAUAGGGGACAGACCCCUUUCACUGGUUUCCAGUUUGGACUUGUCGCUGAUCUCAAGUCACUGUGGAUGACAGAUGUUUCCUUUACUCGGACACACUAUUGUGUAGCUGAAUAUUUCUUUAAAAUGCUAUUCCACUGUUUCUUUUUCUUUCCCCUGUAAACUAUAGAUUUUUUUAAGAAGCCAAAUGGGGUGCUAAAAUACAGCCAGAUUUAUUCUGGGGCCAUCGUUACUCUUAACAUAUUGGCUCAGGAUACCCUGUUAUCGAUGAAGCCCCACCUCUACAUGGUCCUUCUCCUUUCCUGUUCCUCCAAAUUUAGAUGCUGUGUGUUAGCAAACCAGGUACUACCUUAAAUUGUGUCCUGUACAGGAACUCUCUGGGCACCAGCCACCAUCACUUCCACAUUAGGACUUCUUUGUAGGAGCUUCUCAUUGUUCAUGGUGGUUACGUUCUGUAGAGAAACUUCAGAUUCUGAAUUUCCCGACACGGAGCUAUUAUCCCCAGAGGAAAUACGGGGUCAGCUUCUCAAAAACCUGUGGCCACAACAUUUUCAUGACCGAAUCGAUAUAUAACCUUGCUUUAUUUGUGUUUCUGUUUAAAAAUGCCUCCUUUAAUAGCUGGUGCUGAUUCAUUAACACUGAACUCAAAACCAACAGCCCUGUGUCUCAUGCCUAAAAGAAGCUUAUGGAAAGUACAUAUUUGUUCUAUAAAACACAUCGCAGCCCCGUCAUGCUUACAGACACUGGACGGAACUCAGCAUUAUGCCCGAGGCCAUGUUACACAACCACGCCACCAAGAAAAAGCACAAAAAUGUCAAAACUGUGGGAUUAAAUAGACUGCAAAAAAGACACUCGUUCAUAGUCUGUGAGCAGAAAUAAGAAGGCAAAACAUCACCCUGUUCGGCCUCAGCUGGGAACUUGUGAGUUGGGCAAAGCAAAUUUUUUGCCUUUCUGCACGUCCCCAGAUGACCAAGAAACGUGGUGAGUAAUGAUAUGGGGGCUACAAUCAAAUGUUGUAAAUGCAGAAUCUGUGAAUACUGAGGAUUGAUUGGGUUUCUAUGCCCUACGGCGUCACGAGUGUCACCUUAUUACAGGCAUCGACAUCAGAGAUGUGCUUGGAACCCACCGCAGGUCUCCAACUCCUAGCUCUUCAAGCCAGAAACCCAAGGGGUAUUGUUCUGACUACAUGACAUUUCUCUCUCCCCAAAUCACCAUUCCUUGGUCAGCUAAGAUUCCCAGAUGCAAAAGAAAGUCAGAAAAACAUCUACUCUGUUUUAUUUAAGGACUUGGACUCUCUUCACCCUGCUGCUCAGGGAGUUUGAGAGCAGACAUCACCCUGAACUUCCCACCCUCCGUGGUGCCCAGCGCUUUGUGGAGAUAAAAUGCUUUCGUUGAGAAAGGGCAAGAACACUAUCAUUGCACGACUGGUCUAGACUUCCUCGUAUCAACCAAUGGAGCAAGAAAAGAUAAUUCUUCAUCAGAGGAGGGGCAAGCUGCAGAGAAGCUGAAAAAUUGUGCAGGGACUACUUGUAUAAACCUCAUUGAGAUUCACCACUUGUUCACAUUUGGUAUUUUAUUUACCUCUAAUAUAUAUUGUAAUGGGCUGAAUGAUGUCCCUCUUAAAUUCAUUUGUGGAAGUCCUAACCCCUGGCACCUCAGAAUAUGAUUGUAUUUAGGCCUAGGUCUUUAAGGAAGUCAUCAAGUUAAAAUGAAGCUAGUAGGGAGGGCCCCAAUCCAAUAGUAACUGUCCUUCUAAGAGGAAAUUAGAGAAAGACACAGAGGAAAACUGAUGUGAAGACACAGGGAGAAGAUGGCCAUCUCCAAGCCAAGAAGAGAGGCUUCAGAAGAAAUUGAAGGAUUUCAGAACGAGUGCCCUCAAAGUGUGUCACCUUGACAUGUGGACUAUGUUUGAGCUGAAGGCAAUCAAGGCCUGGCAGGCUUAAGAAAACCUUUUCCCCUUCCUGUAAGUACCUAGAAGAAUUUAACUUGGGGGUCUUUCCCAGAAUACGAUUUUUACCAGAGGUGAAUUUUAUCUGGCAGGGCAGACAUUUAAUUACCAAACAUCUGCUUUUCCUCUGGUCCUGUGCAUUCCCCUCCCCUUUGAAGCUCCGGGCCCCUACCUCGUUUCUUAGCUCAAGAUGGCAUAUACUCUUUAUUUUACCUUUCCGUCUUUGAGUCUCUCAUAUAUAUGGGGCUGCCACAUGUAUGAAAUUAAAUUUGUUUUCUCCUGUUAACAUUUCUAAAGUUAACUUGAUUGUUGAACCAGCCAGAGAACUGAAAAGGGUAGAGGAGGAAUUUUUCCUCCCUAACAAAACUAACAGUGAGAACACCUGGAUCUUGGACUUCAAGUCUUCGGACUAUGAGGAAAUAAAUUGCUAUUGUUUAAA